UACGUAGGUGCAAGCGUUAAUCGGAAUUACUGGGCGUAAAGCGUGCGCAGGCGGUUCGGAAAGAAGGAUGUGAAAUCCCAGAGCUUAACUUUGGUAACUGCAUUUUUAACUUACCGGGCUAGAGUGUGUCAGAGGGAGGUGGAAUUCCGCGUGUAGCAGUGAAAUGCGUAGAUAUGCGGAGGAACACCGAUGGCGAAGGCAGCCUCCUGGGAUAACACUGACGCUCAUGCACG
Molecule: ribosomal RNA, 233 nt
Filed under: uncultured bacterium
Lineage: Bacteria
Description: partial 16S ribosomal RNA
Rfam family: Bacterial small subunit ribosomal RNA
Source: RNAcentral